AGACCUUUAGUUUGAACCCCGAAACCAGGUGAGCUACCCCGAGACAGCCUAUAUUGAUUUAGGGCUAACCCGUCUCUGUGGCAAAAGAGUGGGAAGAGCUCCGGGUAGAAGUGACAGACCUACCGAACCUGGUGAUAGCUGGUUGCCUGAGAAGUGGAUAGAAGUUCAGCCUCGCACACCCCAAGCCAGAGAAUACACCGCUAAGGCACUCAGGGAAAUGUGGGAGAGUUAGUUAAAGGGGGUACAGCCCCUUUAACAAAGGAUACAACCUUUGCAGGAGGAUAAAGAUCAUAAUAUAUAAAACAUGCUGCUCUAGUGGGCCUAAAGGCAGCCACCUAAACAGAAAGCGUUAAAGCUCAGGCAGAAAGAAGUUUAUUAUACCGAUAAAAAAUCUUACUCCCCUAAUUAUAUCAGGCCAACCCAUGCCAACAUGGAAGAGAUUAUGCUAAAAUGAGUAACAAGAAGACCUGCUCUUCUCCCAGCACAAGUGUAAGCCAGAUCGGACUAGCCGCUGGAACUUAACGAACCCAACCCAAGAGGGUAGUGUGAAUAGUACAGACCCCAAGAAGAACUCACAACUAAACAAUCGUUAACCCCACACUGGAGUGCUAUUAUAAAGGAAAGACUAAAAGAGGGGGAAGGAACUCGGCAAACACAAGCCUCGCCUGUUUACCAAAAACAUCGCCUCCUGCAACUAUAUUGAGUAUAGGAGGUCCAGCCUGCCCAGUGACUACGGGUUCAACGGCCGCGGUAUUUUGACCGUGCAAAGGUAGCGCAAUCACUUGUCUCUUAAAUAGAGACCUGUAUGAAUGGCUAGACGAGGGCUUAACUGUCUCCCCCCUCCAGUCAGUGAAAUUGAUCUAUCCGUGCAGAAGCGGGUAUAAUUAUACAAGACGAGAAGACCCUUUGGAGCUUAAGGUACAAAAUCCAACCACGUUAAACGACCCCCUAAAGGGCAAGAACUUAGUGGCCAAUGAAGUUUUACCUUCGGUUGGGGCGACCACGGAGGAGAAAAAAGCCUCGGAGUGGACUGGGUUAAAACCCAAAGCUAAGAGAUACAUCUCUAAGCCGCAGAACAUCUGACCAAAAGUGAUCCGGCUAAAAAGCCGAUCAACGAACCAAGUUACCCUAGGGAUAACAGCGCAAUCCUCUCCCAUAGUCCAUAUCGACGAGGGGGUUUACGACCUCGAUGUUGGAUCAGGACAUCCUAAUGGUGCAGCCGCUAUUAAGGGU
RNAcentral lists this ribosomal RNA (1233 nucleotides) under Alburnus tarichi (tarek). RNAcentral describes it as "partial large subunit ribosomal RNA". It matches the Rfam family "Bacterial large subunit ribosomal RNA", at positions 698 to 2572 of the family's 2925-position model. The record is from RNAcentral. Lineage: Eukaryota; Metazoa; Chordata; Actinopteri; Cypriniformes; Leuciscidae.